GCAGGGAAGAGGAAGAAAGAGAGUCUCUAAGAGCGAUGGGAAUAGGAACAUGGAGGAAAGCCUAAGCUAAAUUUUCUAUUCCAGAAGAUUUGCUCUGAGUUUUCCUGAUGCCUCCUAUUCCUACUGAUCUUAGGUAUUCCUUCCUCUUCCUCCUUUUA
This 158-nucleotide microRNA precursor is filed under the name Leersia perrieri. RNAcentral describes it as "pre miRNA MIR2118". It matches the Rfam family "MIR2118 microRNA precursor family". The record is from Rfam by way of RNAcentral. Lineage: Eukaryota; Viridiplantae; Streptophyta; Magnoliopsida; Poales; Poaceae.